Long non-coding RNA from Bos taurus (domestic cattle), 574 nucleotides. The record is from Ensembl. NCBI's taxonomy places the organism in Eukaryota, Metazoa, Chordata, Mammalia, Artiodactyla, Bovidae.
UUCUUAGCUGCGAUUCCUAGGAUUCUAGAAUUAACUCGUGCUUUUCCUUGCGAACACCGUCAUCAUUGCUUCACAUAUAGUGGGAAGACUAUGGUGGGUGGCCCCACCCACACCCACACCCACACCACAUCCCGCAGUGAUACAACCAGGCCCGUGGUCCACGCCCUUCAGACUCUCGCGGUCUCCGCCCUGGCUCGUCGCGCUAGGCCCCUGCAGCUGGGGCUCUCCACUGCCUCCAUGGGCGUGCCUUCUUCAGAAGUCUUGGGUUGUAGUCCAGUCUCAACCUCUAACCGGAGCCUCUCGCCUCUAAUGCGCAGAGAGGGGAAUGACGCCAGGCACCUUCACCCACAUCCUGGAGUGGCAGAUGGGGGUUACCAGUCACUUUGAUGCCAAAAUCAUAUUGGAUAACAGGAGCUACUCUACAAGGAAGGAAAAGAAAAUAUGAAAACAAAAACCCAAAUCGAGAAGCCUCCUUAACCGGCCCCCGCGGUGUCUUGGCUGCCCCUGCCCGACCGGGGAGCGCUCCGCCCUCCCAACCCCUAGCGCGGAGAAGGAGGCUGAAACAGCCAAAGAG